This 445-nucleotide ribosomal RNA is filed under the name uncultured bacterium. RNAcentral describes it as "bacterial SSU rRNA". It matches the Rfam family "Bacterial small subunit ribosomal RNA", at positions 331 to 794 of the family's 1533-position model. The record is from RNAcentral.
CCGGACUCCUACGGGAGGCAGCAGUGGGGAAUAUUGCACAAUGGGGGAAACCCUGAUGCAGCGACGCCGCGUGAGUGAAGAAGUAUUUCGGUAUGUAAAGCUCUAUCAGCAGGGAAGAAAAUGACGGUACCUGAUUAAGAAGCCCCGGCUAACUACGUGCCAGCAGCCGCGGUAAUACGUAGGAUGCGAGCGUUAUCCGGAUUUAUUGGGUUUAAAGGGUGCGCAGGCGGCACGGCAAGCCGGCGGUCAAAGCCGGGGGCUCACCCCCGGCGAGCCGUUGAAACUGUCGGACUAGAGACGGCGAGAAGUACGCGGAAUGCGCGGUGUAGCGGUGAAAUGCAUAGAUAUCGCGCAGAACUCCGAUUGCGAAGGCAGCGUACCGGCGCCGGACUGACGCUGAGGCACGAAAGCGUGGGUAUCGAACAGGAUUAGAUACCCGCGUAAU